Molecule: non-coding RNA, 48 nt
Filed under: Schistosoma curassoni
Lineage: Eukaryota; Metazoa; Platyhelminthes; Trematoda; Strigeidida; Schistosomatidae
Source: RNAcentral
AUCUAGCUGAUGAGCUCUAAAUAGGACGAAACGCGUGUCAAACUGGAU